GAUGAACGCUGGCGGCGUGCCUAAUACAUGCAAGUCGAGCGAACAGAUGAGGAGCUUGCUCCUCUGACGUUAGCGGCGGACGGGUGAGUAACACGUGGAUAACCUACCUAUAAGACUGGGAUAACUUCGGGAAACCGGAGCUAAUACCGGAUAAUAUAUUGAACCGCAUGGUUCAAUAGUGAAAGACGGUUUUGCUGUCACGUAUAGAUGGAUCCGCGCCGCAUUAGCUAGUUGGUAAGGUAACGGCUUACCAAGGCAACGAUGCGUAGCCGACCUGAGAGAGUGAUCGGCCACACUGGAACUGAGACACGGUCAAGACUCCUACGGGAGGCAGCAGUAGGGAAUCUUCCGCAAUGGGCGAAAGCCUGACGGAGCAACGCCGCGUGAGUGAUGAAGGUCUUCGGAUCGUAAAACUCUGUUAUUAGGGAAGAACAAAUGUGUAAGUAACUAUGCACGUCUUGACGGUACCUAAUCAGAAAGCCACGGCUAACUACGUG
RNAcentral lists this ribosomal RNA (497 nucleotides) under uncultured bacterium. RNAcentral describes it as "partial 16S ribosomal RNA". It matches the Rfam family "Bacterial small subunit ribosomal RNA", at positions 28 to 507 of the family's 1533-position model. The record is from RNAcentral.